RNAcentral lists this non-coding RNA (18 nucleotides) under Gallus gallus (chicken). Lineage: Eukaryota; Metazoa; Chordata; Aves; Galliformes; Phasianidae. RNAcentral also lists the same sequence under 1 other name. The record is from RNAcentral.
UAGGGGUAUGAUUCUCGG